AGCUGAAAUGACAUGGUUGCCUAUGUAAAAAUAUAUCUGACAGCAGAGCUUUCGAGUCAGCGCUUUUCUUCAUUUUCCCCGCUGCUCAAUCCAUCCAGCGGCUGUCACAGAGGGGAAGCGGACAAUCUAUCAAGGUAAGGAGGAGAAAAGAAAGAAGGAAAAAUUGGAAAGAUAAAUGGGGUCUUUCCAGUGAAGAUGUGAUGGACAGGUAGUGAUGGAUGUUCGGUACAAGAUACCCAAAAAGAAGUUGUUCAAGUAACAAGGCUCAAUUUUCCUACAUAAUUAAGAGUUUGGAAUUCGGGCAAUAUCAAGAACCACAUCUGUCCUGAAAUCAAUUAUCUCUGUUUGAAACACAAGAAAUAAGAAGACCAUUUUGAGAAGAACAGAGAGUAGCCUUAAGAAAAUCCCUGUCGCAAGCACUCUGGGAUUUGGACUCAAAUGCUAAUUAUACAGAACCACUUGGGUGCCCAGCUGCUGUCCAUUCUCUACACUUAUCCCACCUGAUGGAAGGCUGUUAAGAAAAACAUCACUGCAAUGCCUAAUAAACAGACAUGGGUCCCAGACCCAAUAAGAGUGAAACCAUCCCCCUAUUUAAAUGAAAUUAUGGCUGAUGAGAAAGACAAAUUAAUUUCUCUGUCCCUAGUAUUACACAAAACUUUGGAUGCUGCCAUUGUUACAAUUUUAUUUUCCCCAGGAGCUCAGAGUCCCACCUUCAUUCUUUUUGUUUAAUGCUUAAGCUUGCCUGUCCACCUAUGGAAGACUAGAAUGAGCAAAGACCAUGUAUUCAAUGAUCUGUAAAUCUAACAGGAAACAAUAUAAUAAAUAUAUUGUGUUUGCUAACCAAA
Molecule: long non-coding RNA, 845 nt
Filed under: Homo sapiens (human)
Lineage: Eukaryota; Metazoa; Chordata; Mammalia; Primates; Hominidae
Description: novel transcript
Source: RNAcentral